This 2823-nucleotide long non-coding RNA is filed under the name Chlamydomonas reinhardtii. RNAcentral describes it as "long non-coding RNA (CREI_LNC000348)". Lineage: Eukaryota; Viridiplantae; Chlorophyta; Chlorophyceae; Chlamydomonadales; Chlamydomonadaceae. The record is from RNAcentral.
GGAGGAUAGGGGUGGGGCCUGGGGAGCGAGGUGGGGGCUGGGAUAGGUGGAUGGGCGUGUGCCGCGCCGGUUGCACGUGCGUCGCCUGGCCCGUACGUGGUCACACGUGGUCACAUGCCGGCCGUCUUCCACUUCCUCAGCCUAUCAUGAAUGUAACUCCCCUCCUCCUUCUCAACCCCCUCGACCACCUCCACCUCCCCUCAGGGCGACUGGUCCAAGUCGUACGGCUACAUCAAGUCGCUGAACGCCUGGAACCUGGUGGGGCGCAAGGAGCAGUUGCUGGGUCUGCUCAAGUUGCGCAUCCAGGAGGAGGCGGUGCGCACCUACUUGCUCAGCUACGCCGGACAGUACGCCUCGCUGUCACUGGACCAGCUGGCAAGCAUGUUCGAGCUGCCAGACCGCCAGAUCUACAGGUGGGGGGUGGGGCGGGGGAGGGGGGUGUAAAUACCAGCCCAAACUACACCAAAACCAACGAAAACGAGCGGAGCACAGGCGGAGGCGUUAUGGAGGGGCAUGGGUUGGUUUGCCUGCUCGACAGGGCUUCACAUUCAGCGGCGGCGAUCGCGACGCGCGGUGGACGUCCGCAGCAUUCCCCCUCCCACAACUCGGCUCAACAGCUCCUCACCCAACUCACCUCCUACUCACCGCAUCCUCCCAACACCACCAACCUCUUGAACCCGCCGCAGCAUCGCGUCCAAGAUGAUGAUCGCGGAGGAGCUGGCGGGCAGCUGGGACCAGCCCACCCGCACCAUCGUCAUGCACGCCAACGAGGCCAGCCACGUGCAGCGCCUGGCGCUGCAGCUCGCCGACAAGGCCGCAGUGGUGGUCGACCUCAACGAGCGCGCGCUCGCCUACCGCACCGGAGGCCUGCGCGACGCCGAUGACGAGGGCGGAGCCGGCGGCGGCGGCGGCCGCCGCGGCCGCCGCGACGGCGGCCAGUGGGCCGACGACGAGGGCGGCGCGGGCGGCCGCAGCCGCGGCGGGCCGCGGGUGGGCGGGCCGCCACGGGGCAUGGGCGGCCGUGGCGGUGGAGACCGCGGUGACCGCGGCGGCGGCCGCGGUGGUGGUCGUGGUGGCGGCAUGGGCGGCGGCGCGGGCGGCGGCAUGGGCGGCGGCGGCAUGUCGGCCCUGGGCAACCUGCGCGGCGGCCCGCGCGGCGACCGCGACGGCAGCCAGCGGCCGUAGACGACGUGGGUGCGGUGGUGGUGGUGGGCUGUGUCGUGGCGGCGCGUGUGCAGUCGUGGCGGUGUGGUGGGAGCCGAGGGGUGGAGGAUGGUGGGAGCGGGUGGCAAUGAGGAGGAGAUGAGGCAGGGAGGGUGGAGGCGUGUGAAGCAUCGCAGCAGCAUUAGGCAGCGCGUGUGGUUGUGUGAUUGGNNNNNNNNNNNNNNNNNNNNNNNNNNNNNNNNNNNNNNNNNNNNNNNNNNNNNNNNNNNNNNNNNNNNNNNNNNNNNNNNNNNNNNNNNNNNNNNNNNNNGAGGGAGGGGCGAUGAGCGAGGGGGAAUUGCCGGGGUAAUCCACUGGGGACAGGAUAGAAGCAGGUCAGUCAUGGGACAGCGAGUAAGAACAUCAGGCAUUGCAAGGCGAGCGGGGGGCGAGACGGGGGGGUCGUUUCGCCGUUCCCAGUGAAGAACAAGGAACGGGGGUGGGGAUUGGAACUUAUGAGCGGGGCACUGCCCUUGCUCCGGAGCUGGAUCUUACCACCUACACAACCCCACGCACCACACCAUCACGUGCACACUCGCGCCUCCCUUCUCAAACCCCAACCUCCCUCCCUCACCGCCCGCCGCAGGUGCCCAACAUGGCCGCUAACCCGCUCAACCCCAAGAAGAAGAUGAUCUCCAAGCCCUUCCAGCGCAUCUGGGACACCUAUGCGCGCCAGGCCUUCACCGGCCCGCCCGAGAACGUGCGCGACCACGUCAUGGCCGCGAGCAGGGCGCUGGCGCAGGUGGGGAGGGGGGGGGGGCAGAGGGUAGGGGGGGUGGGGGGGAGGAGGGGGGGGGUCCAGGGUGGGGGGGAGGUGGACGGUAAGGGGUUGGGGGGUGGAGCGGCGGAGGAGCGUAAGGAUGGGGUGGGGUGGGUGUUGGACGGUGGGGCGGAGGAUAGGGGUGGGGCCUGGGGAGCGAGGUGGGGGCUGGGAUAGGUGGAUGGGCGUGUGCCGCGCCGGUUGCACGUGCGUCGCCUGGCCCGUACGUGGUCACACGUGGUCACAUGCCGGCCGUCUUCCACUUCCUCAGCCUAUCAUGAAUGUAACUCCCCUCCUCCUUCUCAACCCCCUCGACCACCUCCACCUCCCCUCAGGGCGACUGGUCCAAGUCGUACGGCUACAUCAAGUCGCUGAACGCCUGGAACCUGGUGGGGCGCAAGGAGCAGUUGCUGGGUCUGCUCAAGUUGCGCAUCCAGGAGGAGGCGGUGCGCACCUACUUGCUCAGCUACGCCGGACAGUACGCCUCGCUGUCACUGGACCAGCUGGCAAGCAUGUUCGAGCUGCCAGACCGCCAGAUCUACAGGUGGGGGGUGGGGCGGGGGAGGGGGGUGUAAAUACCAGCCCAAACUACACCAAAACCAACGAAAACGAGCGGAGCACAGGCGGAGGCGUUAUGGAGGGGCAUGGGUUGGUUUGCCUGCUCGACAGGGCUUCACAUUCAGCGGCGGCGAUCGCGACGCGCGGUGGACGUCCGCAGCAUUCCCCCUCCCACAACUCGGCUCAACAGCUCCUCACCCAACUCACCUCCUACUCACCGCAUCCUCCCAACACCACCAACCUCUUGAACCCGCCGCAGCAUCGCGUCCAAGAUGAUGAUCGCGGAGGAGCUGGCGGGCAGC